AUUGAACGCUGGCGGCAGGCCUAACACAUGCAAGUCGAACGGUAACAGGAAGCAGCUUGCUGCUUCGCUGACGAGUGGCGGACGGGUGAGUCAUGUCUGGGAAACUGCCUGAUGGAGGGGGAUAACUACUGGAAACGGUAGCUAAUACCGCAUAACGUCGCAAGACCAAAGAGGGGGACCUUAGGGCCUCUUGCCAUCGGAUGUGCCCAGAUGGGAUUAGCUAGUAGGUGGGGUAACGGCUCACCUAGGCGACGAUCCCUAGCUGGUCUGAGAGGAUGACCAGCCACACUGGAACUGAGACACGGUCCAGACUCCUACGGGAGGCAGCAGUGGGGAAUAUUGCACAAUGGGCGCAAGCCUGAUGCAGCCAUGCCGCGUGUAUGAAGAAGGCCUUCGGGUUGUAAAGUACUUUCAGCGGGGAGGAAGGGAGUAAAGUUAAUACCUUUGCUCAUUGACGUUACCCGCAGAAGAAGCACCGGCUAACUCCGUG
RNAcentral lists this ribosomal RNA (490 nucleotides) under uncultured bacterium. RNAcentral describes it as "partial 16S ribosomal RNA". It matches the Rfam family "Bacterial small subunit ribosomal RNA", at positions 30 to 507 of the family's 1533-position model. The record is from RNAcentral.